AAAUUUUCUCUGCCCAAUGAAAAUUUUUUAAUGGCCGCAGUAUUUUGACUGUGCAAAGGUAGCAUAAUAAAUAGUUUUUUAAUUGAAGACUAGAAUGAAAGAGAGGAUGAAAUUUAAACUGUCUCUAUUUAAAAAAUAAAAAUUUAUUUUAAGUAAAAAAUCUUAAAUAAGUUUAAGGGACGAGAAGACCCUAUAGAAUUUAAAAAUUUUAUAUAAUUAAUAUAAUAAAUUUAAAAAAAAUUAUUUAUUUAAAAUUUUUUUAUUGGGAGGAUAUUAAAAUUUAAAAAACUUUUAAUUUAUAAAAACAUUAAUUUAUGAAAUAAUUAAUAUAAGUAAAUAAAAAAAAUAAAAUUACCUUAGGGAUAACAGCGUAAUAAAUUUUUAAAGUUCAAAUUAAAAAAUUUGAUUGCGACCUCGAUGUUGAAUUAAAAUAAAAUUUAGGUGUAAAAGCUUAAUAUUUAAGUCUGUUCGACUUUUAAAAUUU
Molecule: ribosomal RNA, 484 nt
Filed under: Chrysura dichroa dichroa
Lineage: Eukaryota; Metazoa; Arthropoda; Insecta; Hymenoptera; Chrysididae
Description: partial 16S ribosomal RNA
Source: RNAcentral